GUUAUAUGGUCAAGUGAAGAAGCGCAUACGGUGGAUGCCUUGGCAGUCAGAGGCGAUGAAAGACGUGGUAGCCUGCGAAAAGCUUCGGGGAGUCGGCAAACAGACUUUGAUCCGGAGAUGUCUGAAUGGGGGAACCCAGCCAUCAUAAGAUGGUUAUCUUGUACUGAAUACAUAGGUGCAAGAGGCGAACCAGGGGAACUGAAACAUCUAAGUACCCUGAGGAAAAGAAAUCAACCGAGAUUCCCUUAGUAGUGGCGAGCGAACGGGGACUAGCCCUUAAGUGGCUUUGAGAUUAGCGGAACGCUCUGGAAAGUGCGGCCAUAGUGGGUGAUAGCCCUGUACGCGAAAAUCUCUUAGUCAUGAAAUCGAGUAGGACGGAGCACGAGAAACUUUGUCUGAAUAUGGGGGGACCAUCCUCCAAGGCUAAAUACUACUGACUGACCGAUAGUGAACUAGUACCGUGAGGGAAAGGCGAAAAGAACCCCGGAGAGGGGAGUGAAAUAGAUCCUGAAACCGUAUGCGUACAAGCAGUGGGAGCCCACUUUGUUGGGUGACUGCGUACCUUUUGUAUAAUGGGUCAGCGACUUAUUUUCAGUGGCGAGCUUAACCGAAUAGGGGAGGCGUAGCGAAAGCGAGUCUUAAUAGGGCGUCUAGUCGCUGGGAAUAGACCCGAAACCGGGCGAUCUAUCCAUGGGCAGGUUGAAGGUUGGGUAACACUAACUGGAGGACCGAACCGACUACCGUUGAAAAGUUAGCGGAUGACCUGUGGAUCGGAGUGAAAGGCUAAUCAAGCUCGGAGAUAGCUGGUUCUCCUCGAAAGCUAUUUAGGUAGCGCCUCAUGUAUCACUGUAGGGGGUAGAGCACUGUUUCGGCUAGGGGGUCAUCCCGACUUACCAAACCGAUGCAAACUCCGAAUACCUACAAGUGCCGAGCAUGGGAGACACACGGCGGGUGCUAACGUCCGUCGUGAAAAGGGAAACAACCCAGACCGUCAGCUAAGGUCCCAAAGUUAUGGUUAAGUGGGAAACGAUGUGGGAAGGCUUAGACAGCUAGGAGGUUGGCUUAGAAGCAGCCACCCUUUAAAGAAAGCGUAAUAGCUCACUAGUCGAGUCGGCCUGCGCGGAAGAUGUAACGGGGCUCAAACCAUACACCGAAGCUACGGGUAUCACGUAAGUGAUGCGGUAGAGGAGCGUUCUGUAAGCCUGUGAAGGUGAGUUGAGAAGCUUGCUGGAGGUAUCAGAAGUGCGAAUGCUGACAUGAGUAACGAUAAUGGGUGUGAAAAACACCCACGCCGAAAGACCAAGGUUUCCUGCGCAACGUUAAUCGACGCAGGGUUAGUCGGUCCCUAAGGCGAGGCUGAAAAGCGUAGUCGAUGGAAAACAGGUUAAUAUUCCUGUACUUCUGGUUAUUGCGAUGGAGGGACGGAGAAGGCUAGGCCAGCUUGGCGUUGGUUGUCCAAGUUUAAGGUGGUAGGCUGGAAUCUUAGGUAAAUCCGGGAUUCUAAGGCCGAGAGCUGAUGACGAGUUAUCUUUUAGAUAACGAAGUGGUUGAUGCCAUGCUUCCAAGAAAAGCUUCUAAGCUUCAGGUAACCAGGAACCGUACCCCAAACCGACACAGGUGGUUGGGUAGAGAAUACCAAGGCGCUUGAGAGAACUCGGGUGAAGGAACUAGGCAAAAUGGCACCGUAACUUCGGGAGAAGGUGCGCCGGUGAGGGUGAAGGACUUGCUCCGUAAGCUCAUGCCGGUCGAAGAUACCAGGCCGCUGCGACUGUUUAUUAAAAACACAGCACUCUGCAAACACGAAAGUGGACGUAUAGGGUGUGACGCCUGCCCGGUGCCGGAAGGUUAAUUGAUGGGGUUAGCUAACGCGAAGCUCUUGAUCGAAGCCCCGGUAAACGGCGGCCGUAACUAUAACGGUCCUAAGGUAGCGAAAUUCCUUGUCGGGUAAGUUCCGACCUGCACGAAUGGCGUAACGAUGGCGGCGCUGUCUCCACCCGAGACUCAGUGAAAUUGAAAUCGCUGUGAAGAUGCAGUGUAUCCGCGGCUAGACGGAAAGACCCCGUGAACCUUUACUAUAGCUUUGCACUGGACUUUGAAUUUGCUUGUGUAGG
RNAcentral lists this ribosomal RNA (2111 nucleotides) under Pseudomonas sp. L13. RNAcentral describes it as "partial 23S ribosomal RNA". It matches the Rfam family "Bacterial large subunit ribosomal RNA", at positions 1 to 2142 of the family's 2925-position model. The record is from RNAcentral. Lineage: Bacteria; Pseudomonadati; Pseudomonadota; Gammaproteobacteria; Pseudomonadales; Pseudomonadaceae.